AGGGCACCACCAGGAGUGGAGCCUGCGGCUUAAUUUGACUCAACACGGGAAAACUUACCUGGUCAGGACACCGGAAGGAUUGACAGAUUGAGAGCUCUUUCUUGAUUCGGUGGGUGGUGGUGCAUGGCCGUUCUUAGUUGGUGGAGCGAUUUGUCUGGUUAAUUCCGAUAACGAACGAGACUCUGGCCUACUAACUAGACGUUGGAUCUCUUUGUGGGUCCAUCACAGCUUCUUAGAGGGACGGGCGGCGUUUAGCCGCACGAGAAUGAGCAAUAACAGGUCUGUGAUGCCCUUAGAUGUUCUGGGCUGCACGCGCGCUACACUGAAGGAAUCAGCGUGUGUACCCUGUCUGAAAAGACUGGGAAACCCGAUGAACCUCCUUCGUGAUGGGGAUUGGGGAUUGCAAUUAUUCCCCAUGAACGAGGAAUUCCCAGUAGGCGCGAGUCAUAAGCUUGCGUCGAUUACGUCCCUGCCCUUUGUACACACCGCCCGUCGCUACUACCGAUCGAGUGAUUUAGU
This 519-nucleotide ribosomal RNA is filed under the name uncultured eukaryote. Its description in RNAcentral is "SSU rRNA". It matches the Rfam family "Eukaryotic small subunit ribosomal RNA", at positions 1161 to 1702 of the family's 1831-position model. The record is from RNAcentral.